This is a long non-coding RNA of Symsagittifera roscoffensis, 1156 nucleotides long. RefSeq lists it as uncharacterized. Lineage: Eukaryota; Metazoa; Xenacoelomorpha; Acoela; Convolutidae. The record is from RefSeq and is a predicted model, not a curated record. The transcript is spliced from 3 exons.
GUGACAACAAAUCAAACCCAAGUCGAUUGCGCUUCCUUGUUCAAAUCUAACGACGUCAUAGAAAAAAGCAAAGAAUCCUUUUUUUCAUUUUUUAAAUAAGCUCCUCUUCAGUCACCGGCUUCUUAAAAUUUUUCUUAAUUCUCAGUGUUUCUUUUGAUCAAUUUUCGAAUUUACAGAAGAACGAUUUGCAAGACUUUCUAAUACUGCUUAACAACUGCGGGAACAUUUAAUUGACAAUUAAUUCGAAAAUUACCAUAUUUUGAUUUCAAAAACCUGCCGAAUGAAAAGAUAAUAUCUCAAUACUAGUUUGCUUUGCUCCUUGGUUAUUUUGCUACAUGCUCACUUCAGGGUAGUAACUGCAAUUAUAUUUGAUGACAACUGUUAAUUUAAAAUCGAUUACCUCAGGUAAAGCUAUUGCAUAAAAGAAAUAUCUCAAUUAGAAAAGUUAGAAGGUUACUCAACGAGUCGGCGGGUGUUAAAAAUUUAUUCUCCUAUUCCAUAUUUUAGUCUCAUUUCAGUUAAAGCAAAGUUGGUUGAUUUUAUUUUCUCAAAGAUGAAGUUCCUCAAUGAUAACUUAUUUUUCCGUAUUGUGUUUAUCUUUCUUCUCUCUGCAUUCCCACUUUUUGGAGAGCAAAUUAAAACCCAUCCUGAAAAGAUUAUAAAGUGGUUUCCAGAUUCCGAAUACAGCCACAACUACAACUACCCUUCAAUAGACAUUUACGAUGUGCAAAAUCUUGUCAAAAGCUGGGAAGGCAUAACUCUGAAACUGGAUAGACUUAUCAAUGCUGUCGCAAACUUCGCGGAAGUCCAGCUUUUCCGAGAAUACUACUCUAGAGCCGCCGCGACGAAAUUGGAAAGACGAAACACAAUACGAGAAGAUAAUAACAAUGCUUUGAAUUGGAUCCAAAAAAUCCAAAAAAAUAAACCUAAAAGAGCAAGAAUUUGUACUUAUUCAUUAUUUAAUUGGAAUGGAACCCGGUGCUAAAUGGUUGUUGUUUGAAUUUCUAUCUUUCAACAAUUUAUUCCUCAAAUCCAAUUGUUGAAAAGCUUCUAUAGCCUAAAAUUAAAUGCAGAAACAAUGGAAGCUUGUCAUGUUUUGGAGUUUGAUUGAUUGUAAGCUAGAUGUUAUAUUAGAAAGGCGCAAGAAAAUAGAUAA